Molecule: small nucleolar RNA, 75 nt
Organism: Seriola aureovittata
Lineage: Eukaryota; Metazoa; Chordata; Actinopteri; Carangiformes; Carangidae
Source: RefSeq, a predicted model, not a curated record
AUACUAUGAUGUUUUUAUGACUUUUUUUGCCUUACUAUACUAUGAUGUUUUUAUGACUUUUUAUGCCUGAGUAUA